RNAcentral lists this ribosomal RNA (599 nucleotides) under Enterococcus faecalis. RNAcentral describes it as "bacterial SSU rRNA". It matches the Rfam family "Bacterial small subunit ribosomal RNA", at positions 194 to 780 of the family's 1533-position model. Lineage: Bacteria; Bacillati; Bacillota; Bacilli; Lactobacillales; Enterococcaceae. The record is from RNAcentral.
AUAAGAGUGAAAGGCGCUUUCGGGUGUCGCUGAUGGAUGGACCCGCGGUGCAUUAGCUAGUUGGUGAGGUAACGGCUCACCAAGGCCACGAUGCAUAGCCGACCUGAGAGGGUGAUCGGCCACACUGGGACUGAGACACGGCCCAGACUCCUACGGGAGGCAGCAGUAGGGAAUCUUCGGCAAUGGACGAAAGUCUGACCGAGCAACGCCGCGUGAGUGAAGAAGGUUUUCGGAUCGUAAAACUCUGUUGUUAGAGAAGAACAAGGACGUUAGUAACUGAACGUCCCCUGACGGUAUCUAACCAGAAAGCCACGGCUAACUACGUGCCAGCAGCCGCGGUAAUACGUAGGUGGCAAGCGUUGUCCGGAUUUAUUGGGCGUAAAGCGAGCGCAGGCGGUUUCUUAAGUCUGAUGUGAAAGCCCCCGGCUCAACCGGGGAGGGUCAUUGGAAACUGGGAGACUUGAGUGCAGAAGAGGAGAGUGGAAUUCCAUGUGUAGCGGUGAAAUGCGUAGAUAUAUGGAGGAACACCAGUGGCGAAGGCGGCUCUCUGGUCUGUAACUGACGCUGAGGCUCGAAAGCGUGGGGAGCAAACAGGAUUA